RNAcentral lists this long non-coding RNA (751 nucleotides) under Cricetulus griseus (Chinese hamster). RNAcentral's name for it is "lncRNA (ENSCGRG00000024759.1)". Lineage: Eukaryota; Metazoa; Chordata; Mammalia; Rodentia; Cricetidae. The record is from RNAcentral.
GAACUUCGCCAGCUCCUCGGGGUGAGAAGUUCAUGGCUCACCUGGGGGCUCUCCAGGCUCUAUGGGGAGGCAGAGCCUGAAAACCGCACCCCUUCAUUCCUGGAGCCCCGCGAGGACCCCGCAUUCCCACCCAGGGAGACUGUUUAUCCUCUGGUUUUUCUCUCAGAGCGAUUAUUGAAGGCCAAUCGCAGGCAAGCGGAGGCCAAAGCCCUGGGAAAGGCAUGGCCUGGCUUAGAUGGAGAAAGAAGCCUGACCAGGGCCACCUCCCUCUGGUGUAUUCCCUGUCACAGUCCCUCGUUUGUGUUUCAGCAUCUACCUCUCUGGGCCCUUUCUCCUGCGGAGCACCAAGCUGACCCAAAUGCAGACAGUGUACACUGUGGAAGCAAUCUUCGAGAGGUCAAGCCCACUGUCAAAGGUCACAUGGCUUGGAGAGGCAGAUGGGACAUUGGAUGCAGACAGGCAGGCGGUGUUGCUAUAGAGAAUCACGCAGGGAGGAAUGAAGAGAGAGGACACAAUGGAAAAGGAAAAUCAGGGGAAACCUGCUGGUGACUUGUGGACUUGAAUAUUUGGUAACAGCCAUCAAGGAAGAAAACCCAAUGCUCACCCCCACACAGUUGGAGUGUGAAGAACUUUCUUCUAUUGGGACCUUUCUCCUCUUUCCCACUAGUGUAGGCAUUGGCUACCUAUUCGUGUAUAUCUGUGGAUUGGGAAAGGGAGGGGCUUUGAAUUUGCCUAAUACCCUGAUUGUUUG